This 923-nucleotide ribosomal RNA is filed under the name uncultured bacterium. Its description in RNAcentral is "bacterial SSU rRNA". It matches the Rfam family "Bacterial small subunit ribosomal RNA", at positions 452 to 1404 of the family's 1533-position model. The record is from RNAcentral.
UGUAUAGCGCGAUUGUAUUUAUGCGGCCUGCGAAUUCGCCCUUGUGCCAGCAGCCGCGGUAAUACGUAGGUGGCGAGCGUUAUCCGGAAUUAUUGGGCGUAAAGAGCGCGCAGGUGGUUGAUUAAGUCUGAUGUGAAAGCCCACGGUUUAACCGUGGAGGGUCAUUGGAAACUGGUCGACUUGAGUGCAGAAGAGGGAAGUGGAAUUCCAUGUGUAGCGGUGAAAUGCGUAGAGAUAUGGAGGAACACCAGUGGCGAAGGCGGCUUCCUGGUCUGUAACUGACACUGAGGCGCGAAAGCGUGGGGAGCAAACAGGAUUAGAUACCCUGGUAGCCCACGCCGUAAACGAUGAGUGCUAAGUGUUGGGGGUCGAACCUCAGUGCUGAAGUAAACGCAUUAAGCACUCCGCCUGGGGGAGUACGGUCGCAAGAUUGAAACUCAAAGGAAUUGACGGGGACCCGCACAAGCGGGGGAGCAUGUGGUUUAAUUCGAAGCAACGCGAAGAACCUUACCAGGUCUUGACAUACCAUUGACCGUUCUAGAGAUAGGAUUUUCCCUUCGGGGACAAUGAAUACAGGUGGUGCAUGGUUGUCGUCAGCUCGUGUCGUGAGAUGUUGGGUUAGGUCCCGCAACGAGCGCAACCCCUGGUCGUUAGUUGCCAGCAUUCAGUUGGGGACUCUAACGAGACUGCCAGUGACAAACUGGGAGGGAAGGUGGGGGAUGACGUCAAAUUCAUCAUGCCUCUUAUGACCUGGGCUACACACGGUGCUACAUGGUGGUACAAGAGAAGCGACGCGUGACGUGAGCAACCUCAUAAGCCAAUCUCAGUCGAAUUGAGCUGCACUCGCUACUGAGUGGAUCGCUAGUAUCGGAUCCGAUGUCGCGGUGAUACGUCCCGAUCUGCCACCACCGUCCGUCAGGGCG